RNAcentral lists this ribosomal RNA (524 nucleotides) under uncultured bacterium. RNAcentral's name for it is "bacterial SSU rRNA". It matches the Rfam family "Bacterial small subunit ribosomal RNA", at positions 355 to 896 of the family's 1533-position model. The record is from RNAcentral.
UGAGGAAUCUUGGACAAUGGGGGAAACCCUGAUCCAGCCAUGCCGCGUGAGUGAUGAAGGCCUUCGGGUUGUAAAGCUCUUUCAGAUGUGAAGAUAAUGACGGUAGCAUCAGAAGAAGCUCCGGCUAACUCCGUGCCAGCAGCCGCGGUAAUACGGAGGGAGCGAGCGUUGUUCGGAAUUACUGGGCGUAAAGCGUAUGUAGGCGGCUUUGUAAGUCAGGUGUGAAAUCCCAGAGCUUAACUUUGGAACUGCAUUUGAGACUGCAAGGCUUGAGUAUCGGAGAGGUUGACAGAAUUCCUAGUGUAGAGGUGAAAUUCGCAGAUAUUAGGAGGAAUACCGAUGGCGCAAGCAGUCAACUGGACGAUUACUGACGCUGAGAUACGAAAGCGUGGGGAGCAAACAGGAUUAGAUACCCUGGUAGUCCACGCCAUAAACGAUGUGUGCUAGCUGUUGGGGCUCUUAGAGCUUCGAUGGCGCAGCUAACGCCUUAAGCACACCGCCUGGGGAGUACGGUCGCAAGAUUA